AACGAACGCUGGCGGCAUGCCUAACACAUGCAAGUCGAACGGGAUCCUAGCUUGCUAGGUGAGAGUGGCGGACGAGUGAGUAACACGUGGGAAUCUGCCUUUUGGUUCGGGAUAACCGCGGGAAACUGCGGCUAAUACCGAAUGCCCUCGUGAGAGGAAAGAUUUAUCGCCAGAAGAGGAGCCCGCGUCCGAUUAGGUAGUUGGUGGGGUAAAGGCCUACCAAGCCGACGAUCGGUAGCUGGUCUGAGAGGAUGAUCAGCCACACUGGGACUGAGAUACGGCCCAGACUCCUACGGGAGGCAGCAGUGGGGAAUAUUGGACAAUGGGGGGCAACCCUGAUCCAGCAAUGCCGCGUGAGUGAUGAAGGCCUUAGGGUUGUAAAGCUCUUUUGCCAGGGAAGAUGAUGACUGUACCUGGAGAAUAAGCCCCGGCUAACUUCGUGCCAGCAG
Molecule: ribosomal RNA, 449 nt
Filed under: uncultured bacterium
Lineage: Bacteria
Description: bacterial SSU rRNA
Rfam family: Bacterial small subunit ribosomal RNA
Source: RNAcentral